CCGCAUAGUAUCUGUGGAUUAAAGGUGGCUUUUGGGCUGUCGCAGAUGGAUGAGCCUGCGUUGGAUUAGCUAGUUGGUAGGGUAAGGGCCUACCAAGGCUGCGAUCCAUAGCUGAUUUGAGAGGAUGAUCAGCCACAUUGGGACUGAGACACGGCCCAAACUCUUACGGGAGGCAGCAGUGAGGAAUAUUGGACAAUGGGGGCAACCCUGAUCCGGCAAUGCCAUGUGUGUGAAGAAGGCCUUAGGGUUGUAAAGCACUUUAGUUGGGGAAGAAAGCUUUGAGGUUAAUAGCCUUGAGGAAGGACGUUACCCAAAGAAUAAGCACCGGCUAACUCCGUGCCAGCAGCCGCGGUAAUACGGGGGGUGCAAGCGUUAAUCGGAAUUACUGGGCGUAAAGGGUCUGUAGGUGGUUUGUUAAGUCAGAUGUGAAAGCCCAGGGCUCAACCUUGGAACUGCAUUUGAUACUGGCACACUAGAGUACGGUAGAGGAAUGAGGAAUUUCUGGUGUAGCGGUGAAAUGCGUAGAGAUCAGAAGGAACACCAAUGGCGAAGGCAACAUUCUGGACCGAUACUGACACUGAGGGACGAAAGCGUGGGGAUCAAACAGGAUUAGAUACCCUGGUAGUCCAUGCUGUAAACGAUGAGUACUAGCUGUUGGAGUCGGUGUAAAGGCUCUAGUGGCGCAGCUAACGCGAUAAGUACUCCGCCUGGGGACUACGGCCGCAAGGCUAAAACUCAAAGGAAUUGACGGGGAUCCGCACAAGCGGUGGAGCAUGUGGUUUAAUUCGAUGCAACGCGAAGAACCUUACCUGGUCUUGACAUCCUGCGAGCUUUCUAGAAAUAGAUUGGUGCCUUAGGGAACGCAGUGACAGGUGCUGCACGGCUGUCGUCAGCUCGUGUUGUGAAAUGUUGGGUUAAGUCCCGCAACGAGCGCAACCCCUAUUGAUAGUUACCAUCAUUAAGUUGGGUACUCUAUUGAGACUGCCGCUGACAAGGCGGAGGAAGGUGGGGACGACGUCAAGUCAUCAUGGCCCUUACGACCAGGGCUACACACGUGCUACAAUGGGUAUUACAGAGGGCUGCAAAGGAGCGAUCUG
This 1097-nucleotide ribosomal RNA is filed under the name Francisella-like endosymbiont. Its description in RNAcentral is "bacterial SSU rRNA". It matches the Rfam family "Bacterial small subunit ribosomal RNA", at positions 169 to 1264 of the family's 1533-position model. Lineage: Bacteria; Pseudomonadati; Pseudomonadota; Gammaproteobacteria; Thiotrichales; Francisellaceae. The record is from RNAcentral.